AAUGCGUGAGAAGGCGCGUAAGAACCUACCCUUGGGAGGGGAACAACAGCUGGAAACGGUUGCUAAUACCCCGUAGGCUGAGGAGCAAAAGGAGGAAUCCGUCCGAGGAGGGGCUCGCGUCUGAUUAGCUAGUUGGUGAGGCAAUAGCUUACUAAGGCGAUGAAUUACCUGCUCGACUAUAUUGGAAUAUGUCCAGUUUUCCGGCAGGGA
Phaseolus vulgaris (common bean) is the source of this 210-nucleotide non-coding RNA. The record is from Rfam. NCBI's taxonomy places the organism in Eukaryota, Viridiplantae, Streptophyta, Magnoliopsida, Fabales, Fabaceae.